RNAcentral lists this ribosomal RNA (484 nucleotides) under uncultured bacterium. Its description in RNAcentral is "partial 16S ribosomal RNA". It matches the Rfam family "Bacterial small subunit ribosomal RNA", at positions 30 to 507 of the family's 1533-position model. The record is from RNAcentral.
AUUGAACGCUGGCGGCAGGCCUAACACAUGCAAGUCGAGCGGAUGAAGGGAGCUUGCUCCUGGAUUCAGCGGCGGACGGGUGAGUAAUGCCUAGGAAUCUGCCUGGUAGUGGGGGAUAACGUCCGGAAACGGGCGCUAAUACCGCAUACGUCCUGAGGGAGAAAGUGGGGGACCUUCGGACCUCACGCUAUCAGAUGAGCCUAGGUCGGAUUAGCUAGUUGGCGGGGUAAAGGCCUACCAAGGCGACGAUCCGUAACUGGUCUGAGAGGAUGAUCAGUCACACUGGAACUGAGACACGGUCCAGACUCCUACGGGAGGCAGCAGUGGGGAAUAUUGGACAAUGGGCGAAAGCCUGAUCCAGCCAUGCCGCGUGUGUGAAGAAGGUCUUCGGAUUGUAAAGCACUUUAAGUUGGGAGGAAGGGCAGUAAGUUAAUACCUUGCUGUUUUGACGUUACCAACAGAAUAAGCACCGGCUAACUUCGUG